GCCACCGUGUCGGAGGCGAGGCGAGGAAGGGAGCUGGAAUAACAAAGGUGGCAGCUGAGCAUCCCUGGAGAGGGUGGGUGGUAUGAAAGCACUUCCAGACCUCUAGGGACACCAGGGAGUCAUGGUCCCAGCACAUUGCUGUGUGAUUGAGCCCCUCCUCAGCCUGUGGGUGGCCUAAGUUCACAGGGAGGUAAUGGGGUAGAUUGGAUACCUCUGGGGUCUUGGAAGAAGCUAUGACUUAUUUACUGUCUACUAUGUGGGAGCUCAGGAGGGGGAAUUGCACUGAAGAUUUGUCCCAUCGUGAAGCAAGAGCACUGGAACUUACACUCCACCAUCAGGCCCUGUCACAGGAGAACAAAGAAGGAAGGCAGAGGAGAUCAUGCUCCGGCCAGCAGGGAAUCUCCAUUUUUUUCAGCCUCAUACCUUGGAAAGUACAAAGGAGUGAGAGCUGGGACUACCAGCCAGAGGGUUCAUGGAGGUAGUGGGAGGGGAAGAUGGGUUCUGCAUGGAGCCACUCCAGGGACUUUUCUUCUGUCUCACAGCCUGACAAUCACCUCUAGCUGUUCUCAGUCCCAUUCUCAUCAAUGACCUCGUCUCCUGAUUUUGUACAAUAUCUAGGUGACCUUCUCUUCUUUCCAUCUUCAAACGCUUGAUCAUUGAUGCUCCCUUUUCUCUUCUCUCUCCUCCUGGGAAAAGAGAAGGACCAACAUCCCCCUUUCCCUUCCUCCUGUGCUGUCCCGACCCCUCUGAGACCUGGCUCUAGCAGUAAGUCCCUCUCUCUUCUGCAGCACCAGCCUCUGCCCAUCCCUGCCCUCUGCACACAAAGCUCUCACAUUGUCUGCACUUUAAGAACUUUUGUGGCAAACCCUGGCAAAUCCUGCCACUUGUUUCCACUCUUCUCAAAUGGCUUUGAGGUCAUCAUUGACCUAUCCCAUUUGACCCUGUCCUGUAUCUGAUGUUGUACCCUUUCUCCUUGAUCCCACUCUGGCAACUCUCCCACUCCCCUUUCUUGGAUCAACUGUCUUGCUCCUCAGUCUUGAUCAAUGCCUCCUUCUCUCUCUUUAGCCUUGGCCCUUUUUGGCCAGGGAAAUAAAUGUGAAAUACAUAAAGCUUCAUUUUAUCUUAUGAUUAUAGCUAUGUUGAUGUUACCCAAGACCUAAAAGUCACACUCUCUAAUUACACUUCCCUCCUGUGUUCUGGGUCCUCUUGGACCAGUCCUUACUCUGGCUCCCCUCCUGGAUGUCUCCCAGACUUCUAAUUAGAAUUACUGUUUCCUAUAUCAAGCUAAUUAUCUUUCCCACCAACCUCCUCCAUCCUUGGGUGAAAGCAUCACUUGGUUGCAAAAGUCAGAAAUCUGGGUUUCAUUCUUGCGGUAGGUAGAAUAAUGCCCCCAGGCCCCAGGUUUUGACAUCCGAAUCCCUGGGACUUUGCAGAUGUGAUUCAGUUUAGGAUUUUGAGAUGGGGAGAUUAUCUGGGAGAGCCUGAUGUCAUCAUAAGGUUCUUAUAAGAGGGAGGCAGGAGGGUUAGAGUGAGUAGUAAGAGAUGCAACAGUGGAAGCAAGAGGUUGGGGUGAUGUGGCCACAAGCCCAGGAGUGCUGACAGACAUCAGAAGCUGGAAGGGACAAGGAAUGGUUUCUCCUCUGGAGCCUCCAGAAAGAACCAGCCCUGCUGACACCUUGAUUUUAGCCUUGGAAGACUCAUUUUGGACUUCUGACCUUGAACGUUGUAAGAGAAUAAAUUUACAUAUUUUAAACUGGUA
Molecule: long non-coding RNA, 1759 nt
Filed under: Homo sapiens (human)
Lineage: Eukaryota; Metazoa; Chordata; Mammalia; Primates; Hominidae
Description: non-protein coding ZMIZ1-AS1:35
Source: RNAcentral